CCUACGGGCGGCAGCAGUGGGGAAUAUUGGACAAUGGGGGCAACCCUGAUCCAGCCAUGCCGCGUGUGUGAAGAAGGCCCUCGGGUUGUAAAGCACUUUCAGUGAGGAAGAACGCCUGGUGGUUAAUACCCAUCAGGAAAGACAUCACUCACAGAAGAAGCACCGGCUAACUCCGUGCCAGCAGCCGCGGUAAUACGGAGGGUGCGAGCGUUAAUCGGAAUUACUGGGCGUAAAGCGCGCGUAGGUGGCUUGAUAAGCCGGUUGUGAAAGCCCCGGGCUCAACCUGGGAACGGCAUCCGGAACUGUCAAGCUAGAGUGCAGGAGAGGAGGUAGAAUUCCCGGUGUAGCGGUGAAAUGCGUAGAGAUCGGGAGGAAUACCAGUGGCGAAGGCGGCCUUCUGGACUGACACUGACACUGAGGUGCGAAAGCGUGGGUAGCAAACAGGAUUAGAUACCCCAGUAGUC
This 464-nucleotide ribosomal RNA is filed under the name Vreelandella stevensii. RNAcentral's name for it is "partial 16S ribosomal RNA". It matches the Rfam family "Bacterial small subunit ribosomal RNA", at positions 338 to 795 of the family's 1533-position model. The record is from RNAcentral. Lineage: Bacteria; Pseudomonadati; Pseudomonadota; Gammaproteobacteria; Oceanospirillales; Halomonadaceae.